Molecule: ribosomal RNA, 460 nt
Filed under: uncultured bacterium
Lineage: Bacteria
Description: partial 16S ribosomal RNA
Rfam family: Bacterial small subunit ribosomal RNA
Source: RNAcentral
CCUACGGGAGGCAGCAGUGAGGAAUAUUGGUCAAUGGACGAGAGUCUGAACCAGCCAAGUAGCGUGAAGGAUGACUGCCCUAUGGGUUGUAAACUUCUUUUAUAUGGGAAUAAAAUGUUCCACGUGUGGGAUUUUGUAUGUACCAUAUGAAUAAGGAUCGGCUAACUCCGUGCCAGCAGCCGCGGUAAUACGGAGGAUCCGAGCGUGAUCCGGAUUUAUUGGGUUUAAAGGGAGCGUAGGUGGAUUGUUAAGUCAGUUGUGAAAGUUUGCGGCUCAACCGUAAAAUUGCAGUUGAAACUGGCAGUCGUGAGUACAGUAGAGGUGGGCGGAAUUCGUGGUGUAGCGGUGAAAUGCUUAGAUAUCACGAAGAACUCCGGUUGCGAAGGCAGCUCACUGGACUGCAACUGACACUGAGGCUCGAAAGUGUGGGUAUCAAACAGGAUUAGAUACCCUUGUAGUC